AGCAGCCGCGGUAAUUCCAGCUCCAAUAGCGUAUAUUAAAGUUGUUGCAGUUAAAAAGCUCGUAGUUGAAUUUCGGGAUUGACACAUCGGUCGUGCCUUAAGGGGUAUGAACUGGUGUAGUCAAUUUCUCACCUUCUGGAGAACCGCGAUGCCCUUAAUUGGGUGUCGCGGGGAACCAGGACCUUUACUUUGAAAAAAUUUAGAGUGUUUAAAGCAGGCAUUUUGCUUGAAUACAUUAGCAUGGAAUAAUAAAAUAGGACGGCAUGAUUCUAUUUUGUUGGUUCCUAGGAUCACCGUAAUGAUUAAUAGGGAUAGUUGGGGGCAUUAGUAUUCAAUUGUCAGAGGUGAAAUUCUUGGAUUUAUUGAAGACUAACUACUGCGAAAGCAUUUGCCAAGGAUGUUUUCAUUAAUCAAGAACGAAAGUUAGGGGAUCGAAGACGAUCAGAUACCGUCGUAGUCUUAACCAUAAACUAUGCCGACUAGGAAUCAGACGAUGUUAAUUUUUUUAAUGACUCGUUUG
This 520-nucleotide unclassified non-coding RNA is filed under the name uncultured Entrophospora. RNAcentral describes it as "SSU rRNA". It matches the Rfam family "Eukaryotic small subunit ribosomal RNA", at positions 569 to 1082 of the family's 1831-position model. The record is from RNAcentral. Lineage: Eukaryota; Fungi; Glomeromycota; Glomeromycetes; Entrophosporales; Entrophosporaceae.